GUCAAGUUGAUGAGUCCCAAAUAGGACGAAACACGAGUCCUGUAU
RNAcentral lists this non-coding RNA (45 nucleotides) under Schistosoma mattheei. The record is from RNAcentral. Lineage: Eukaryota; Metazoa; Platyhelminthes; Trematoda; Strigeidida; Schistosomatidae.